Molecule: long non-coding RNA, 561 nt
Organism: Notolabrus celidotus (New Zealand spotty)
Lineage: Eukaryota; Metazoa; Chordata; Actinopteri; Labriformes; Labridae
Exons: 3
Source: RefSeq, a predicted model, not a curated record
UGCCAGGCUUGUGAGCAGUGAGGCCCACAACUUACAUUCACUUUACUCAAGUAAGCAGAAAAUGAAACAGCAAUACCUUAUUGAAUACUUCCAGUCCAGUCUGCAAGGGUCACCAGUCGCUCGGAUUCUGGAGAAGUACAAGAGGGCAUGCAGAUGUCCAUCAAUGGUCUCUGUGGAUUUAACCAGUCCCCGAUCUCCAUGAAAAACUAGAUGGCUAAUAGAUGUCAGAGAAGAGGACGGCACCGACUCUAAAGUGUGAUCCAGUGACUCUGCAGCAAGAUCCAGUGGCUGUGCAGCUUGAUCCAGUGACACUGCAGCGUGAUCCAGUGACUCUGCAGCGUGAUCCAGUGAAUUAACGCUGUAGUGUAGUCAGAAAUGAUGAAGCAAAUCCUUUAGUGUUUGCUGGGUUAAGUUACCCGUGGCUAAGGUCCAUUCAUUUGGCCACGCUCCAUAUGCUAAUGAGACAGCAAGGUUAACUUCAAACACACAGAAAGGAACUUGAUAAACUCCGCUCAAGCAACUCCAUGGUGCGACGAUAAAGGGCAAUGCAGGAAGCUGGGG